Molecule: ribosomal RNA, 466 nt
Filed under: uncultured bacterium
Lineage: Bacteria
Description: partial 16S ribosomal RNA
Rfam family: Bacterial small subunit ribosomal RNA
Source: RNAcentral
GAUGAACGCUGGCGGCGUGCUUAACACAUGCAAGUCGAACGAUGAAGCCCAGCUUGCUGGGUGGAUUAGUGGCGAACGGGUGAGUAACACGUGAGUAACCUGCCCUUAACUCUGGGAUAAGCCUGGGAAACUGGGCCUAAUACCGGAUAGGAGCGUCCACCGCAUGGUGGGUGUUGGAAAGAUUUAUCGGUUUUGGAUGGACUCGCGGCCUAUCAGCUUGUUGGUGAGGUAAUGGCUCACCAAGGCGACGACGGGUAGCCGGCCUGAGAGGGUGACCGGCCACACUGGGACUGAGACACGGCCCAGACUCCUACGGGAGGCAGCAGUGGGGAAUAUUGCACAAUGGGCGCAAGCCUGAUGCAGCGACGCUGCGUGAGGGAUGACGGCCUUCGGGUUGUAAACCUCUUUCAGUAGGGAAGAAGCGAAAGUGACGGUACCUGCAGAAGAAGCACCGGCUAACUACGUG